CUUUGGCAAUAGAAAAGUCAAGACGAAAUGUUGAAGUGGGGCCAAUUUGUUAUAUUACUUUUUUUAGUGCCACCUGGACUAUCUAUCGUGAAUAAAUUUUCCACGUAUUUGGCCUCGAAGGUUUUUGAACAAAUCGAUAAGGUUUUCUUGGACCUGGAAACUAAUUAUAGGUUUACUCUCAAACAUGAAUAUAUUUGUAACAAAAGCUUGCAUGAAACAAAAGAGACUAGCUUAAACUGGCAGAAGGCACAAGAAACAUUAAGGAUAAUGAAAAAUAUUUUUAGCACUGAUUGCAAGAUCACACUCAAUCCCAAGCCAAUGGCCAGAAGUUCCCUUUUUGAUAGAAAACCUGGUGAUUGGCCUUUUCUAAACCCUAUUGGUGGACCACCUCUUUUUCUUCCCAACAAAGUUCCAGGAUUCCUUCCAUUUCCGCCAGCUUGGCAUCCGCCUGAAACUUUUCCUUCCCCAAACCAAGUGAUACCACCAUUUCCAGGGCAGCUCGCACCUCCAGUUUGGAAUCAACCUCAGACUUUAUUUCCCUCAAACCGGGGUUUAUUAUUGCCUGUGCCACCAGGACAAGAAAUACCACCGAAUCCACUUCCAGGACAUCCCGCACCUCCUGUUUGGAAUCAACCUCAAACUCUUUUUCCCCCAAACCAAGGUUUAUUAUUGCCUGGACCGCCAGGACCACAGACACCUCCAAAUCCACUUCCAGGAGGACCUGCACCUCCAGUUUGGCCUCCACCUCAACCACUUUUUCCCUCAAACCAAGUUUCAUUAUUGCCGGCACCGCCUGGACCGUGGAUACCCACAAACCCAACUCCAGGAGGACCUGCACCUCCAGUUUGGCCUCCACCUCAAACUCAACUUCCCCCAAACCAAGUUUCAUUAUUGGUGGCACCGCCUGGACCAUGGAUACCCGCAAAUCCACUUCCUGCACCACCAAGAUCAGUGGUACCCCCAACGCCAUUUCCAGGACAGCCCGCACCUCCAGCUUGGCAUCCACCUCAAACUUUUCCUCCCCUUAAACAGGGUUUAUUAAUGCCUGGACCAGUGAUACCCCCAAAUCCGAUUCCAAGACAACCCGCACCUCCAGUUUGGCGUCCACCUAAAACUAUUCUUCCCCCAAAACCACUUAUACUAUUGCCUGCACCGCCAGUGCCAGUUAUACGUCCAGUUGGGCAUCAACCCGAAAGUCAUUUUCCCCGAAACCAUAGUUCAGGAUUACCUGCACCACCUGGAGCUUCUUUACCUUUGAUAUUUCCAGGCCCAAUUACAGCAUUGCUCCCAUCUAAAUCAGGAUCUUUACGUAUAGAUCUCUCUAGGCUGAAGAAUCUUAAUAUACUCCAAGUAUAUCCUGGUCAACCAGCACCUCCAUUUUGGCACCCACCUGGAACUCUUCCUUCCCCAAACCCAGGUCCAGGAUUGCCUGCACCACCGGGAUCAGUUAUCCCCCCAAAUCCAGCAACACCCGCACCGGCAGGUGGAACUGGAACUGGAGCUGUUUCUCCACCUUCAACUCCAGGAUUACUUGCACCACCUAGUACUCUACCUCCUCCUGACCUAGGUUCAGGAUUGCCUUCACCACCGGGAUCGGUUAUUCCCCCAAGUCCACUCCCAGAAACACCCGAACCGGAUGGUGGAACUGGAACUCCUGCAAUUCCAGGAUUCCCUGCACCACCUGAAACACUUCCUUCCCUAAACCCAGAUUUAGGAUUUCCUGCUCCUCCGGGAUUAGUUAUUCCCCCAAAUCCUCUUCCAGAAACACCCGCACCGGCUGGUGGAACUGGAACUCCUGUUUCCCCACCUUUAACUCCAGGAUUACCAGCAUCACCUGAAUUCGUUACUCCCCCAAAUCCCUUUGCAGAAACACCCCCACCACCAUUUCUCCUACCGCCAGGACCUUCUCUAGGAUCAGGAUUGUGGCCACCUGAAAUAAAUAAUUCUACAUUACCAGCGUCACGUAACAACUGCAUUGAACGUUCCUCGGUAUUUGAAGAAAUGGACGACGUACUUUUGCGAUUAGAAGCUAACCAAAAAUCUUUUAGUCUUUAUCAGCAGUCAUGCAAUGAAAGCUUGCUUAAAUCAGAAAAUGAAGGAAUUGGCUCUCAUUUUCAGAAGAAUGCCUCUGUUCUACUGCAGAUUGCACGAAAGUACAUCAAGUUAUUAAAGCAAAUUUUUGAAGCUGCCAAUAAAAUACCAGGAUCGGCAGGACCACAGCCAGUUGGAAAUCCUCCGAUGGGAAAUCAAGAGCGGAAUCCCACUGGGAACCCUCCAAAAGGACGAGAAGGAUGGCAUCCCCUUGGUGUGACGAAUCUUAAUAUAAAUAAUAUAAAUCUUAACAAGAACCAAUAUAAAAAGUCCGAGUAAAAAUUAAAGAAUAAAAUAAAGUCAGUUAACACUCAGAAAAAAAGCGGUACAGAAUUUCGUAAAGAUCACAUAUUAAAAUGCAUGGUCAAUAGUAAAACGUCAAUUUAUUUUACCAGUUUCGAAAUGACAUCAAAAAAUUAAUUUGAAAGUUAUAUAUGGAAAAUCCAUUUUGUUUCCGCAUUAAACCAGAGAAUGUGAAUUUUAUAAGCAAAACAUAUUAAGCCAGAAUAUUUCGGCUCACUUAGCCAAGCGAAUAUACAAAACGAACAGCACGAAAUGUGCAAAUGGCACUAUAUUGUACUUUUAUUUUAUUUAUUGCCACGUGUUCGAGGCCUUAAAAUCAAUGAUUCCUUGGACAAAAAGUUGUUUACGAACUUCUUUAACCAAAUCGACUUUCUGUUACUAGAACUAGAAGCACACCAAAAAUCCCUCUUUAUUCAUCAGCAGUCAUGCACCAAUGGUUCGAUUCAAGUGGAAGGUGACCUUGCUUCUGCCACAACUGCAAAUCGAAACUCAAACUCUGAGGGUAAUGCUCUACUGCAGAGCACAAAAAAGCAGUUCAAGCUGUUGAAGCAACUGCUGAAAACCGAUUGUCCGAGCAAAAUUUAUCAAUAUUUUCAAAGGAACCGCUCAUACAAUCCACAUGAUCCUUUUGUCUUUAUACCCGAUAGCGCUGUGGAUCCGGAAGAACCUAGUCCAACUUCCCGACCCCGACCCCGACCUGCUCCUUCUCGUCCUCCUCGACGUCGCCCACGCCCCCGUCCGCGCCCUCGUCCUCGCCCUCGUCCUCGUCCUCGUCCUCGCCCCCGUCCAACUCCUUCACCUCCGAAAACCACCACAAAGAGUACUUGUGACUCUCAUAGAAAACACCCAGUAAUUCCAGAGAUUGAACUGCCGCCAGGAUACGAACUCGUUGAAAUAGAAGUACAUUCUCUAUGUGACCAUGGAAAGCAGCCACAUAACAAACAUUAAAAUAAGAACUUUACUUGAAAUUGUCGCCCUAAAUAAAUUGACUCAAAAAUAAGAA
Molecule: RNA transcript, 3397 nt
Organism: Drosophila biarmipes
Lineage: Eukaryota; Metazoa; Arthropoda; Insecta; Diptera; Drosophilidae
Gene name: protein TsetseEP
Exons: 12
Source: RefSeq, a predicted model, not a curated record